RNAcentral lists this ribosomal RNA (465 nucleotides) under uncultured bacterium. RNAcentral describes it as "partial 16S ribosomal RNA". It matches the Rfam family "Bacterial small subunit ribosomal RNA", at positions 338 to 795 of the family's 1533-position model. The record is from RNAcentral.
CCUACGGGAGGCUGCAGUGGGGAAUAUUGCGCAAUGGGCGAAAGCCUGACGCAGCGACGCCGCGUGAGGGAUGAAGGUCUUCGGAUCGUAAACCUCUGUCAGCAGGGAAGAAAGGUCACUGUGCUAAUCAGCAGUGAAUUGACGGUACCUGCAAAGGAAGCACCGGCUAACUCCGGGCCAGCAGCCGCGGUAAUACGGAGGGUGCGAGCGUUAAUCGGAAUUACUGGGCGUAAGGGGCGCGUAGGCGGUAUGUCAAGUCAAGGGUGAAAUCCCCGCGCUCAACGUGGGAACUGCCUUUGAAACUGGGGAACUGGAGUGUGUGAGAGGCUAGCGGAAUUCCAGGUGUAGGAGUGAAAUGCGUAGAUAUCAGGAGGAACAUCAGUGGCGAAGGCGACUAUCUGACACAUAACUGACGCUGAGGAGCGAAAGCGUGGGGAGCAAACAGGAUUAGAUACCCUGGUAGUC